GGCGUAGAGAGCUUGUAGGCGGUUUGCCGCGUCUGCUGUGAAAGCCCGGGGCUUAACUCCGGGUGUGCAGUGGGUACGGGCAGGCUAGAGUGCAGUAGGGGAGACUGGAAUUCCUGGUGUAGCGGUGAAAUGCGCAGAUAUCAGGAGGAACACCGAUGGCGAAGGCAGGUCUCUGGGCUGUUACUGACGCUGAGAAGCGAAAGCAUGGGUAGCGAACAGGAUUAGAUACCCUGGUAGUCCAUGCCGUAAACGUUGGGCACUAGGUGUGGGGGACAUUCCACGUUUUCCGCGCCGUAGCUAACGCAUUAAGUGCCCCGCCUGGGGAGUACGGCCGCAAGGCUAAAACUCAAAGGAAUUGACGGGGGCCCGCACAAGCGGCGGAGCAUGCGGAUUAAUUCGAUGCAACGCGAAGAACCUUACCAAGGCUUGACAUACACCGGACCGCUGCAGAGAUGCAGUUUCCCUUCGGGGCUGGUGUACAGGUGGUGCAUGGUUGUCGUCAGCUCGUGUCGUGAGAUGUUGGGUUAAGUCCCGCAACGAGCGCAACCCUUAUCCUAUGUUGCCAGCACGUGAUGGUGGGGACUCAUGGGAGACUGCCGGGGUCAACUCGGAGGAAGGUGGGGAUGACGUCAAAUCAUCAUGCCCCUUAUGUCUUGGGCUUCACGCAUGCUACAAUGGCCGGUACAGUGGGUUGCGAUGCCGUGAGGUGGAGCUAAUCCCUAAAAGCCGGUCUCAGUUCGGAUCGAAGUCUGCAACUCGACUUCGUGAAGUUGGAGUCGCUAGUAAUCGCA
This 791-nucleotide ribosomal RNA is filed under the name uncultured bacterium. RNAcentral describes it as "bacterial SSU rRNA". It matches the Rfam family "Bacterial small subunit ribosomal RNA", at positions 557 to 1346 of the family's 1533-position model. The record is from RNAcentral.